CGGACCGGUGCCAGAAACACUGCCUCAGCAUUUAUACGUAUGUGCAUUUCAAACGAGGGUCCGUACAAUGCUGGAUUUGUUUAACGGCUCCUGUUGGAAAAAAAGGAUCUAUUCCUAAAGUCCGUCAUCCACUCACUGAAGAGGGCAAAUCCCAGUUGCCCACAUGCAAGGAGGCUGUCAAACAGAGAAAUCACUGCAGACUGUUGGUACACAGACAUCUGCUGCCCAGCUCAGGAGUAAAGGUGAUGGUGAGGACAGCCACAGCUUCCAUCUGGUAGAGGACUGCUUCCGCUCAGUCUUCCAAAUAGUGAUGAGAACAAGGAUCACCACAUCUCCCUGUUUACCCUACUUUCAUGCAUUUCGUCUGCAAGGCCCUGCAAAAGCUUCUCCUUCGUCCUCAAACCCCCAGACUUCUUAAUUAACUCAGUAACCUAUACAUUGCACAUUGGAGUGUGAAGGUAACAGUUUGUUCUAGCUUUGGAGUAGUGGUGUAUUUUUUUGGUUUACAAUAAAGUUGGCUUUAACUAUUA
This is a long non-coding RNA of Betta splendens (Siamese fighting fish), 530 nucleotides long. RefSeq lists it as uncharacterized. The record is from RefSeq and is a predicted model, not a curated record. NCBI's taxonomy places the organism in Eukaryota, Metazoa, Chordata, Actinopteri, Anabantiformes, Osphronemidae. The transcript has 3 exons.